Molecule: long non-coding RNA, 518 nt
Filed under: Rattus norvegicus (Norway rat)
Lineage: Eukaryota; Metazoa; Chordata; Mammalia; Rodentia; Muridae
Description: long non-coding RNA NONRATT006471
Source: RNAcentral
UCUGCUUGUGACAUCCCCUUCAUCAUCCAUGAAUGAGGAAAUGUGAGCUUGUCUGGACGCUCUGCAGGACUCCUCAAGCUUGUCCCUCACAGGCACACUCUACAGGAAACGUCUUUUGUACACUUGGCUGGGGCGCUGGGCUCUGGAACCCUCAUGCCAUAAGCAGUUUGGGCAAGGGUAACAGUAAGAUCCCGAGAUGAGGUGGAAAAUGUCUCAUAAGGAAACAAAGCCCAAUGUGGUGGCCACUACAUUUUCUUGUUUCUUGGAAGCUGUGGCUUCAGUCCAGUAGUCUGUUUCUUUGUCACCCAAGAAGGUUUUCAGGGCCAUGUCUAGCCUGUCCCACCCAGGUCCACCUCACUCCUUUGUAAGGAGUCAUCUUUUUAAGCCUGCUUUUACAACGUGACAUCCAAACUUGGUAAAUGAUUCGACAAUCAGGUUUUAGUCCUGUUAAUUUCGUUCUUUUAGAUAUUAAAAUGAUCAUAAACUGUGUGCCUUACAAAUUAAACAUUUUCAAUCAA